UAAAUGCAUGCCCAUACUCUAAUGGGCGAACGUACGCAAAUGUAGAAUAAGCAGAAAACGUCAUACGAACACAUGCCUUACGCGCCAUAUUUUUCGAAUUAGAUAUAAAUAAUUAAAGACAAUGUUUCUGAGCUUUCCUCUUGUUUCGCUUUUACCGUAAGAAUAUUCAGCUUCUUCGCGAAGUGAUGGUUAGGCUUAGGUGUAUGGCCGUCAUAACCUACAUCCAUUAAGCUUUUGUUUCUGAAGCCAUCUUGAAUAUAUGGUGUAUUCAACGCAGGUGGAAUCUGCGAAGACGGAUACAAAGUAGAUUUAAAACUAUUUGAAGAAUUCUUGGUAUUUUCGAGCGGCUGCCUAUAAUUCGAGAGCUAAGAUAUAAGCGAAUAUCACGUAAGAAACACAAGAAAUCACGAAAUUAACAUAUCACCGGUGAUCUCCUCGUGUCAUAGUUUGAACGUUUUACAAGUAAGAGUGACGGUUCAGAGCGUUAUAACAAAGAAGGUGUUGAGCGCUGAUUUGGGAGAGUGUUUAUACUAAGAGGUUAUCGAUGGAUUUAUUUACACUGGUAUGGGCAUUCUGUUACACUCUGUGGAUAUUCUGUUACUAUCACAUUUAUGGUGCCGAUGACUAUAUCAAACAGGAAGUUCCCCUUACCAUAUUACUGCUUAUGUCUGGAAUUACGAUACCUUUCGAAUAUUUCUUAAUUGCUUUAUCUGUGUGUAGGUAUACCUACGUGUAGGUUUGCCUCCGGAACUAUGGGCAUGCCUUUAUGACUCAUCCUGUGUAACGUAAAGAUCAACAAUUGUUUGUUUUAAGUUAAUCAAAACAAUUUUGAUUAAACCAAUUUCAAUGAAAAAAUAUUUUGCCUACUAAACAUCCCACACAUACGGUAUAGGUAUUAUUUUCAUUCUAUCUUACUUUUAUCAGAUAACCAUCAAAGAGUAUUUAAUCACCAUAUAAUAUACCAUAAUAUAUACCAGUAACACGUUAUUGGAAUAAUUGAAUUUUUCAUAUAAUAGAAUAACUUUGUCUUCACAUGAAAAAAUAAUACUAAUUUUCAACUGACUUGUUAAUAUUAAUAAUAAGAAAAAACAAAGACACAAAUAUAAAACAAAAUUACAAUAAAAAUAUAACAAUU
Molecule: long non-coding RNA, 1135 nt
Organism: Bombus pascuorum
Lineage: Eukaryota; Metazoa; Arthropoda; Insecta; Hymenoptera; Apidae
Exons: 3
Source: RefSeq, a predicted model, not a curated record